Bicyclus anynana (squinting bush brown) is the source of this 1417-nucleotide long non-coding RNA. RefSeq lists it as uncharacterized. The record is from RefSeq and is a predicted model, not a curated record. NCBI's taxonomy places the organism in Eukaryota, Metazoa, Arthropoda, Insecta, Lepidoptera, Nymphalidae. The transcript is spliced from 2 exons.
AACCUUUUUUUCCUAUUUGUCGAAAAUAAUUUAAUAGAUUUAUCCAAACCAACGGUAAUGGUAAUCAGAAGUUUUCAAUGUUUUCAUACUGUUAAUAACGCGUUAACGUAAACGCGAAUUUAUCACGAAAUCUUAAAAACCGCUUGACAUACAAAGAUGAAUUUUGGCAGUGAGGUCGUUUACAGUUAGUAGAGGACUACUAAGAUAGCCGGAAACGAAUGUAUAAAAUUUGGCAAAGACAGGGAGUUGUGGAAAAAGAUGGAGGAGGCCUUUACCCUUUCAGGGUGUCCGAAAUUAAAAAGAACAUACUAACUAUUAUUACUAACAUAAUUUAAGAAAACUUGCUAACAAACUACUAACAACUUAUGAAGUGUAAUUUAGAAAUGUAAAAAUUGGAAUAAACGGCUUAUUUUUAUUAUUAUUAUUUAUAUUAAGAGGCUGGACUAAGAAGGUCUAAGGGCGGACGAAGUCGCGGGCAUCCGCUAAUUCCAUAUUAAUUCGCGUUAACGUUAACGCGAUAAAGUAUAAAAACAUUGAAAACAUUGAAAACUAGGCACGCAGGUAACAUACGGUGGAAUUCAUAGUCGUAGUAGGGGGCCCCUAAGGGGAUUAUUCAGCCGCUAUGUGUCGAAUUCAACCCCUACGCGUUUCAUAGACAAAAGAAACCCCUCAUUUGACAGGAGCUGGCGGCUGACUGCUGAAUUACCGAUAUUUGUCAGCCAAACCAUCCCCUGGCAUUUUUUUUUGUUGUUAAUCGUGAUUUAUUUAUUAGAAAGUGGACGUUAUAAGUGAAGUUAUAAACAGCGAGUUAUAUCAGUGCCCAAGAUAUAUAUUCGCAAUUGCGUAAACCCAGUAUAAUACUAUGGCGAUAUGGAAUGUACGAAAAAUUCUCAUAUUAGGCAUAAUAUGCCUCUGUUUGAUGAAGAAUGAACACAGAGGACCAAGAGAGGAAUACCAAUACCGCUAGUAUUAUACAUUCUAGCAGCACUUCGAUUCUAUGAAACGGGAUGUUAUCAGACUGUAUGUGCAGUCCAUCAAGCAUUCUAUGAAAUAACAGAAAUGCCACAAGUCAAGCUGUAUUGAUGGCACGCAUAGGUAUACAUAUAAACAACCCUGGAGGACCCUAUGCACAGAUUUAAAGAAACCGGCUAUCAUGGCAGGGAAUAGCAGUGAUGAGCUCUGAGAAUACUGUUUUACCAAGAAUACUGAGAAUACUUUGGUCCUUGAAAAUCUGAGUUUUCAGAUCACAGUAAUUGGAAGACCCACAUACCUUGAAAAGUCAGCAGCAUUUAAUAUCCAGGUAGUAGGAGUGAGUGCAGUAUGUUGUAAGGUGGUCACUCACUCUGAAGUCCAUAACAAUAGAAAAUGUAUACAAAUCUUAAUUGAAUGAAAUUUAUUGAUUCACAUCUUUAAUAAA